GACGAACGCUGGCGGUAUGCCUAACACAUGCAAGUCGUACGAGAUCCCUUUUUCUUUUAGAAAAGAGAAGAUUGCAGUGGCGGACGGGUGAGUAACGCGUAAGAACUUACCUUUUGGUGGGGGAUAACAGUGGGAAACUGCUGCUAAGACCCCAUAAUGCUGAGGAGCUAAAAGUGAAAACUGCCAAGAGAGAGGCUUGCGUCUGAUUAGCUAGUUGGUGAGGGUAAUUGCCUCCCAAGGCGACGAUCAGUAGCUGGUCUGAGAGGAUGAUCAGCCACACUGGGACUGAGACACGGCCCAGACUCCUACGGGAGGCAG
Molecule: ribosomal RNA, 318 nt
Filed under: uncultured cyanobacterium
Lineage: Bacteria; Bacillati; Cyanobacteriota
Description: bacterial SSU rRNA
Rfam family: Bacterial small subunit ribosomal RNA
Source: RNAcentral